RNAcentral lists this ribosomal RNA (429 nucleotides) under Acidobacteriota bacterium. RNAcentral's name for it is "Acidobacteria bacterium partial 16S ribosomal RNA". It matches the Rfam family "Bacterial small subunit ribosomal RNA", at positions 355 to 776 of the family's 1533-position model. The record is from RNAcentral. Lineage: Bacteria; Pseudomonadati; Acidobacteriota.
UGGGGAAUUUUGGACAAUGGGGGAAACCCUGAUCCAGCCAUCCCGCGUGUGCGAUGAAGGCCUUCGGGUUGUAAAGCACUUUUGGCAGGAAAGAAACGUCAUGGGUUAAUACCCCGUGAAACUGACGGUACCUGCAGAAUAAGCACCGGCUAACUACGUGCCAGCAGCCGCGGUAAUACGUAGGGUGCAAGCGUUAAUCGGAAUUACUGGGCGUAAAGCGUGCGCAGUCGGUUCGGAAAGAAAGAUGUGAAAUCCCAGAGCUCAACUUUGGAACUGCAUUUUUAACUACCGGGCUAGAGUGUGUCAGAGGGAGGUGGAAUUCCGCGUGUAGCAGUGAAAUGCGUAGAUAUGCGGAGGAACACCGAUGGCGAAGGCAGCCUCCUGGGAUAACACUGACGCUCAUGCACGAAAGCGUGGGGAGCAAACAGG